RNAcentral lists this ribosomal RNA (378 nucleotides) under uncultured archaeon. Its description in RNAcentral is "bacterial SSU rRNA". It matches the Rfam family "Archaeal small subunit ribosomal RNA", at positions 691 to 1068 of the family's 1478-position model. The record is from RNAcentral.
CCGACGGUGAGGGGCGAAAGCUGGGGGAGCAAACCGGAUUAGAUACCCGGGUAGUCCCAGCCGUAAACGAUGUGCGUUAGGUGUAUCAGUGACCACGAGUCACCGAGGUGCCGAAGAGAAAUCGUGAAACGUACCGCCUGGGAAGUACGGUCGCAAGGCUGAAACUUAAAGGAAUUGGCGGGGGAGCACCACAACAGGUGGAGCCUGCGGUUUAAUCGGACUCAACGCCGGGAAACUCACCAGAUAAGACAGCUGAAUGAUAGUCGGGCUGAAGACUCUACUUGACUAGCUGAGAGGAGGUGCAUGGCCGUCGUCAGUUCGUACUGUGAAGCAUCCUGUUAAGUCAGGCAACGAGCGAGACCCACGCCAACAGUUGCU